This 313-nucleotide ribosomal RNA is filed under the name Rachovia maculipinnis. RNAcentral's name for it is "partial 12S ribosomal RNA". It matches the Rfam family "Bacterial small subunit ribosomal RNA", at positions 875 to 1360 of the family's 1533-position model. Lineage: Eukaryota; Metazoa; Chordata; Actinopteri; Cyprinodontiformes; Rivulidae. The record is from RNAcentral.
GAAAAUUACGAGCAUAAGCUUAAAACUCAAAAGAUUUGGCGGCGCUUUAACCCCUAGAGGAGCUUGUCCUAUAAUCGAUUGUCCCCGCUAAACCUCACCUUCUCUAGCCCUCAGCCUACAUACCGCCGUCGUCAGCUAUCCCAAUGUAGGUUAUACAGUAAGCAAGACCGGCUUUACCCCCAAACGUCAGGUCAAGGUCUAGCUCACGAGAAGGGAAGAGAUGAGCUACAUUUCCUACUUAGGGCUUACAGAAAAUCUUUUGAAACAAUAGAUGGAAGUAGAAUCUAGCAGUAAGUAAAAAAUAGAGUGUUUU